AGGACACGUCUGAAGCGUGUGCUAUUGACUGUAUGCCAACUUUCAAGCUUUACAAAGUCGGAAAACAGGUUGACUCACUGGAGGGAGCCGACAAGGAGAAACUGGAGAGCAUGAUAGUCAGCAAGAUGUGAAGUGUGAUCACGUGAAUGUACAAGUCCAUAUUAGGAGAAAAUAGACUACAAACACGUGAAUUACCUCCUGCGACUCCCACCAGUGGCAGAGAGUAAAAUAUAGAAGAAUCUAGAUGCUAGGUUUCCGCCUUAUCAAAUGGCAUGUUGUUUAUGGUAAUAAAGAAUCAUUUUAACUGG
This is a long non-coding RNA of Haliotis rubra (blacklip abalone), 308 nucleotides long. RefSeq lists it as uncharacterized. Lineage: Eukaryota; Metazoa; Mollusca; Gastropoda; Lepetellida; Haliotidae. The transcript has 2 exons. The record is from RefSeq and is a predicted model, not a curated record.